This 567-nucleotide long non-coding RNA is filed under the name Cucumis sativus (cucumber). RNAcentral's name for it is "long non-coding RNA (CSAT_LNC000153)". Lineage: Eukaryota; Viridiplantae; Streptophyta; Magnoliopsida; Cucurbitales; Cucurbitaceae. The record is from RNAcentral.
GAUAACCCGGAACCGGCACGCACAUAUUGACCGGGUACGGCUCCGGUUGAACCGGCACCGGUAUGGGAACCGGGGUGGGCUGUGGGACGACUACCGGCGGAGGAUCCACCUUCUUUGGAGGCGGAGGGUUCGCUUUCGGGGGUGGUGGGUCAACCUUUUUGGGCGGAGGAGGGUCCGCCUUUUUGGGCGGAGGUGGGUCCGCCUUUUUGGGCGGAGGUGGAUCGGCUGCCUUUUGGGGCGGAGGAGGGUCGGCGGCUUUACUGGGUGGUGGUGUGUCGGCCUUUUUGGGGGGUGGGGGAUCGGCUUUUUUGGGAGGCGGAGGAUCAACCUUUUGAGGUGGGGGUGGAUCAGGUUUUUUGGAAGGGGGAGGAUCGACUUUUUUGGGUGGUGGAGGAUCGGCGGGCUUGGGCGGAGGAGGCUUGGGAGGUUCAGGCUCUUUGAUUUCAAUGCUUUUAAUAACCCCACAUCCCUUACAACAAAUUUUAUCUCUAAGCUUCUCAGGAUUGCAACAAACCACCUUGAUAAUCACAAGGUUUUGCUUUUCAUCAUAAAUCUGGUCUCGAAUUU